UAUUACUUUUCUCUAUGAUGGCGUUAUUUUGUCAAACAAAAUAAAUGAGACUUAAUUAUGUUUUCCCCUAAUUGUUAAGGAUGAGAAAUGUUUAAAUAGUAAUGUCUUUUUCAUUAAAUAUUAGUGAUAUAAUUGCACAUGUAAAAAAUAUUGUAGAUAGCGUACGAUGUACAGCUUGUGACAAGGCUGAUGGAGGUCGUACCAGAUUUCUAUGUGGACAUACAAGUUGCGAUGACUGCCUGACUGAAUCAGAAGAGUGUGUGUUAUGUGUUACACCUCCCACAUCUUUGGGCAAACCCAAAUCUGACAAACCUCUUUCUCAGCGAGCUCAAAACGCUUAUAAUCUACUUGAAGUUUGUCAAGACACUUUUCAUUUAGAUGUUUAUCAAAGGGUUUCAGAGGGCUUACGAGUUUCUGAACAACUGAAGGCUGAAAGAGAAUUGUUCCCAGAAUGCAUUCAAGCUCCACAAAAGUAUUGUAAUAAAAGGAAAAGUAUUGUUAUGAAAGGAGAUAAAGAAAAUUUACAUAGUUCUUUUCAUUUUGGUGAGCACAUCUCACAUUCAGAUUCAUUUAAAAUGAACAAAUGUAAUAAUUAUGUUCAACAGUGGCUUGAAAAAACUGAAAAUUAUCCUAGGAAAGCAUUAGCUGACUUAAAUGUUAAUAAGUCAAACAACACAAGAAGGAAAAUACUUCAACAGAAAACUGUAAAAAGUAAGUCUAAAAAAAGUAAUAAUAGUCAUGUCAAGGCAGAAGUAUUAAAUUCAAAACAAAGAAAAAGACCUUUUUCUACAACAUCAUUUUCACUUAUUGGUCAAGAAAAUAGUGUGCCUGAUUUAAUUAUUAAAAAAUCUAAAAAAAGUGAAUCUAAAACAUUUUUGCAUGAACUCCACAAUAAAACAUUGGAGUGUCCAGACAAUGAAGAAAGUGGAAUAGUAUUGGAUGAUGAACCCAUACUAAUAGAAGAUUCACAGAGUCAAAUAAUUGCAGAAGAUAAAGAUAAAUUUGCAUUAUUAGCAGUGCAAGCCGCUGAGAAGGAACAAUCAGGUGUCACAGCCUUGACAUUAGAGACUACACAGGAUCUUGAACUACCUCCUAUAUGCAUUAAUUCAAAAACUAGUAAUAAAAAGCACAAUAAAAAUGUUCCAUUUUAUAAAAAGGGUUCCCUAGCAGAUUGUUCUCCUCACUACCCUGUUGAUAACAAACCAGACAUUGAAAGAGAAAAUGUGUUGAUCACUAUUGAAAAUCAGAAUUUUAUUACCACUAUUAAUAUAAUGAAUACUGAAAAUAUUGUUAAUGACAAAAAAUCUGUUAAUAUCCAAACUAAUUUAAAUGAUGAAGACAGGAUGCCAGAAAUAAAAGAGAAAAGUAAAGGAAAUAAUAACAAAUUUGUGCCUUUGCCAAGUGAGAAUAUUGUUACUGAAAAGAAUCAAGAGUCACAACAGUCACCCUGUAUUUACAAUAGCACAUCUAAGAGAGGUGGCAUUAUUAUUGAUGAUUCUGAUAGUGAUGAUAGCCUUUUUAUGGGAAGCUAUUUACAAGUGGAAGCUGAAGUUCAUAGAUCUUGUGAGCCAUUAGACUAUGGCAUCCUUAAUGAAAUAAGUACAAGUGAAUUACCACACAGAUCCAGAAAUAAAAUGAGAUGCCUUUCACCAGAUAGCAAUAACUCUUCAGAGAAGGAAAAUUGUGAUCCAAAUAAAGGCAAAAAGCAUAAAAAUGUAAAGAAAAGCAAAUAUUUUAAGAAGUAAUUAUAAUUUGUUAGCAUGUAAUGUAAUAAUUUUCAAUUUAUUAAAAAAAGUUAUGAAUCAAAAAUGA
Long non-coding RNA from Ostrinia nubilalis (European corn borer), 1812 nucleotides. RefSeq lists it as uncharacterized. NCBI's taxonomy places the organism in Eukaryota, Metazoa, Arthropoda, Insecta, Lepidoptera, Crambidae. The transcript has 4 exons. The record is from RefSeq and is a predicted model, not a curated record.